GGAGAGUUGGUCGAGUGGCUUAAGGCACCGGUCUUGAAAACCGGCGAUGUGCAAGCAUCCCAGGGUUCAAAUCCCUGACUCUCCGCCA
Molecule: transfer RNA, 88 nt
Filed under: Clostridiaceae bacterium HFYG-1003
Lineage: Bacteria; Bacillati; Bacillota; Clostridia; Eubacteriales; Clostridiaceae
Also listed under: 2 other names
Description: tRNA-Ser
Rfam family: tRNA
About the family: Transfer RNA (tRNA) molecules are approximately 80 nucleotides in length. Their secondary structure includes four short double-helical elements and three loops (D, anti-codon, and T loops). Further hydrogen bonds mediate the characteristic L-shaped molecular structure. tRNAs have two regions of fundamental functional importance: the anti-codon, which is responsible for specific mRNA codon recognition, and the 3' end, to which the tRNAs corresponding amino acid is attached (by aminoacyl-tRNA synthetases). tRNAs cope with the degeneracy of the genetic code in two manners: having more than one tRNA (with a specific anti-codon) for a particular amino acid; and 'wobble' base-pairing, i.e. permitting non-standard base-pairing at the 3rd anti-codon position.
Source: RNAcentral